Molecule: long non-coding RNA, 680 nt
Organism: Apis dorsata (giant honeybee)
Lineage: Eukaryota; Metazoa; Arthropoda; Insecta; Hymenoptera; Apidae
Exons: 2
Source: RefSeq, a predicted model, not a curated record
UAGAUAUUUUAUAUCUGCAUUCCAACAGGUAAAGAAAUAUUCAUUUAUACAACUUCGUAUACAUGAAGAAAGCAAGAAGAAACGAUUACACAUACGCUACAAUUAUUCUAAUCUCUCUUUGGAAAUCAUUUUAAUCACGUGUCGAAUUCAUAGGUUUAUUGGGGUUUAUUUUCGAGAAUUCGAUGUUUAUCAGGAUUGAUCGCAUACCUGGCAUGACGAGGCAUGCGUCGCCACAAUAAUUACCGGGGGAUGCGUGUCUUUACGCAUAAGGCCCACGUGGAGGGGUUGUGUGGAGGGUGGCACACGCAACUUACGGCUCCAACUAUGAUUCACCUGAGCCAUCGUGUUACUAUAGCUACAUAUUUGGUAGUUACUGAUGAGAAGGCUAAAAUUUUCGUUUUGCCAUGUUUUGCACUGGAAAAGUAUAGAAAUUGAUAAGAAUCUAAAGGAAGAGAUCAGAAAGAAUAUGCAUAUUCUUGAUAUUAUUGGACAUUGGAUAAAAAUGUUUAUAAAAUUGUAUAAACAAUGUAUAGGUGUUUAUUGAUUGUCCAUAAUUCUUUAUUUUUUUUUGUGAAAAUUUAAUAAAGUUAGAGCUAAUGUUUUUUUUUAGGAUGUUAUAUGAUUAUAAAUGUUCUGGAUAUUUAUGUGAAUUUAGAUUUUUAUAAACACAAUUAUUAGAA